RNAcentral lists this ribosomal RNA (253 nucleotides) under uncultured bacterium. Its description in RNAcentral is "partial 16S ribosomal RNA". It matches the Rfam family "Bacterial small subunit ribosomal RNA", at positions 524 to 776 of the family's 1533-position model. The record is from RNAcentral.
UACGAAGGUCCCGAGCGUUGUUCGGAAUCACUGGGCGUAAAGGGAGCGUAGGCGGCGUGGUAAGUCAGAUGUGAAAUCCCGGGGCUCAACCCCGGAACUGCAUCCGAUACUGCCAUGCUAGAGUGAUGGAGAGGAGAUUGGAAUUUACGGUGUAGCAGUGAAAUGCGUAGAUAUCGUAAGGAAGACCAGUGGCGAAGGCGAAUCUCUGGACAGUUACUGACACUGAGGCACGAAGGCCAGGGGAGCAAACGGG